CAGUAGCCACGGGAAUACGAAGGGGGCUAGCGUUGCUCGGAAUGACUGGGCGUAAAGGGCGCGUAGGCGGAUGGCACAGUCAGAUGUGAAAUUCCCGGGCUUAACCUGGGGGCUGCAUUUGAUACGUGUUGUCUAGAGUGAGGAAGAGGGUCGUGGAAUUCCCAGUGUAGAGGUGAAAUUCGUAGAUAUUGGGAAGAACACCGGUGGCGGAGGCGGCGACCUGGUCCUUUACUGACGCUGAGGCGCGAAAGCGUGAGGAGCAAACAGGAUUAGAUACCCCAGUAGUCCCUGUCUCUUAUAC
This 301-nucleotide ribosomal RNA is filed under the name uncultured bacterium. Its description in RNAcentral is "partial 16S ribosomal RNA". It matches the Rfam family "Bacterial small subunit ribosomal RNA", at positions 509 to 807 of the family's 1533-position model. The record is from RNAcentral.